This 78-nucleotide transfer RNA is filed under the name Pseudomonas kilonensis. Its description in RNAcentral is "tRNA-Lys". It matches the Rfam family "tRNA". Rfam says of the family: Transfer RNA (tRNA) molecules are approximately 80 nucleotides in length. Lineage: Bacteria; Pseudomonadati; Pseudomonadota; Gammaproteobacteria; Pseudomonadales; Pseudomonadaceae. The record is from RNAcentral. RNAcentral also lists the same sequence under 3 other names.
GGGGGAGAACGCCCGGUGGCUUGGGCGCCAACUACUUAAGUUGGUAGUCGUGAGUUCGAGUCUCACUCUCCUCCACCA